UUAUCCGGAAUUAUUGGGCGUAAAGGGCUCGUAGGCGGUUCGUCGCGUCCGGUGUGAAAGUCCAUCGCUUAACGGUGGAUCCGCGCCGGGUACGGGCGGGCUUGAGUGCGGUAGGGGAGACUGGAAUUCCCGGUGUAACGGUGGAAUGUGUAGAUAUCGGGAAGAACACCAAUGGCGAAGGCAGGUCUCUGGGCCGUUACUGACGCUGAGGAGCGAAAGCGUGGGGAGCGAACAGGAUUAGAUACCCUGGUAGUCCACGCCGUAAACGGUGGAUGCUGGAUGUGGGGCCCGUUCCACGGGUUCCGUGUCGGAGCUAACGCGUUAAGCAUCCCGCCUGGGGAGUACGGCCGCAAGGCUAAAACUCAAAGAAAUUGACGGGGGCCCGCACAAGCGGCGGAGCAUGCGGAUUAAUUCGAUGCAACGCGAAGAACCUUACCUGGGCUUGACAUGUUCACGACGGUCGUAUAGAUACGGCUUCCCUUCGGGGC
RNAcentral lists this ribosomal RNA (488 nucleotides) under uncultured bacterium. RNAcentral describes it as "bacterial SSU rRNA". It matches the Rfam family "Bacterial small subunit ribosomal RNA", at positions 541 to 1027 of the family's 1533-position model. The record is from RNAcentral.